Non-coding RNA from Trichomalopsis sarcophagae, 139 nucleotides. Lineage: Eukaryota; Metazoa; Arthropoda; Insecta; Hymenoptera; Pteromalidae. The record is from Rfam.
UUUGGCUAAUAUCGAAGCUGAGAUUUUUACACUAUCGAAAUUUGCAGUCAAAAUUUAGCCAAAAUUAAUGUUAUCCUCCUUUAUGGUCACUGAUUGACUAAACAUGAGUCUUUUCGUACUACCCAAGGAGGAUACAGCU